GCCAGACACGGUGGGCGUGUCUGUAGUCCCAGCUAUUCAGGAGGCUGAGGCUGGAGGAUCUCUUGAGUCCAGGAGUUCUGGACUGUAGUGCACUAUGCCGAUCGGGUGUCUGCACUAAGUUCGGCAUCAAUAUGGUGACCUCCCGGAAGCGGGGUACCACCAGGUUGCCUAAGGAGGGGUGAAUCGGCCCAGGUCAGAAACAGAGCAGGUCAGAAUUAUAAAACUAAAAAGAAUAUUCAUUUUAAUUAACUGCCACUGUUAACUGUUCAUGGAUUAAGAGACUUUAU
Molecule: unclassified non-coding RNA, 287 nt
Organism: Callithrix jacchus (white-tufted-ear marmoset)
Lineage: Eukaryota; Metazoa; Chordata; Mammalia; Primates; Cebidae
Rfam family: Metazoan signal recognition particle RNA
About the family: The signal recognition particle (SRP) is a universally conserved ribonucleoprotein. It is involved in the co-translational targeting of proteins to membranes. The eukaryotic SRP consists of a 300-nucleotide 7S RNA and six proteins: SRPs 72, 68, 54, 19, 14, and 9.
Source: Ensembl